GAUGAAGAACGCAGCGAAAUGCGAUACUUGGUGUGAAUUGCAGAAUCCCGUGAACCAUCGAGUCUUUGAACACAAGUUGCGCCCGAAGCCAUUAGGCCGAGGGCACGCCUGCCUGGGCGUCACACGUCGUUGCCCCCCCAUCUACUCCUUCGGGAUUGCGGGGGGCGGAUGAUGGCCUCUCGUGCGCCUCGUCGCGCGGUUGGCCUAAAUGCCAAGUCCUCGGCGACGCACGCCACGACAAUCGGUGGUUGCGAAACCUCGGUUGCCUGUCGUGUGCGGUCGUCGCGCAUCGAGGGCUCGAAAAAAUUGCCGGGCUUCGGCUCGACUUUCAACGCGACCCCAGGUCAGGCGGGGUUACCCGCUGAAUUUAAGCAUAUCAAUAAGCGGAGGA
RNAcentral lists this unclassified non-coding RNA (391 nucleotides) under soil metagenome. Its description in RNAcentral is "partial contains 5.8S ribosomal RNA, internal transcribed spacer 2, and large subunit ribosomal RNA". The stretch from base 1 to 122 matches the Rfam family "5.8S ribosomal RNA", at positions 35 to 154 of the family's 154-position model. The record is from RNAcentral.